RNAcentral lists this long non-coding RNA (4273 nucleotides) under Canis lupus familiaris (dog). Its description in RNAcentral is "lncRNA (ENSCAFG00000050973.1, ENSCAFG00845012319.1)". Lineage: Eukaryota; Metazoa; Chordata; Mammalia; Carnivora; Canidae. The record is from RNAcentral.
UUGAACUUUCUCAGGAAGUUCAGAUGGUAUAUUGUGAGACAGAAGCAAAAACAAUACAAAAUCAUCUCAUAAAAAAAUUAGCAAUAAGGCAUCACGACAGGACAGCAAAAGUAUUUUGUUAAAAAAAAUCAUUCCAACAUGAAUAAUUUGACAUUGCUAAUUUGUUAAGAAAAAGAUAUCUUGAACAGAUACCACCCUGGGAUCCUUAAGCAACGCUCUGAAACUUCAUUUGCUACAAACACAUCUACUACAUUGCUGUUGGAAAUACAUCUUUCAGCCCAAAUUUCAACUUAACUAAAAGUCCUAUUGGCUACUAAGCAGUGGUCAUCAAUUUGGUUUACUUUAUAAUCUGGACCAAACACAAACAUUAAAUGAGGUCAAACAAAAUGCCCACUUGCAGUCCUCAAAUUUAUUUUUUUUAAUAUUUUCUAUUACUUAUUUCUCUUUUUAUUUAUUUAGAGAGAGUUGGGCAGGAGGAGAGGUAGAGGAAGAGGAAGAGAAUCUCAAGCAGACUCGGAGCACUAUGUGAGGCUUCAUCUCACAACUUCAAGACCAUGACUGGGGCUGAAACCAAGAGUAGGAUGCUUAACUUACUAAGUCACCCAGACCCUCCUCUACUCCUCAACUUUCUAAAGCUUAUUUUAAAAAACAUGGAAAAUUUAGUUGAAUAGGAAUGGCAAAAAUAAAGAGUUUCAUUUUUAAUGAAAAAGGAAGCCUACCAAUAUCAAUCUCCAUUGUGACACAAAUUCUACCCAUCACCAAAUGGAACUGGAAUGUAACAGAACAAACUGCCCAAGGAAUCACAAGUUGGCAGAGGAGGGACAAGAUUUAGAGGGAUGUUAAUAGACCCAGAAUUACAAUUGUGAAUUAGAAAAAGGUGUUCUGGGUGUGCUAAUUCUAGGUAAGUAGAGGAAGUUACAAACAAUGGCCAAAGUAAUUGGAAAAUGAGCCUAAUGGUGAGUAAGAAAUGAACGACAGAAUAUUGGCAAUUGAGGAAUUUAAGGCUCAAACUCCCUAUUUUAAAGAUGCAGAUACUGGCAAAGACAGGCAAUGACUUGCCCAAGUGAUCAGAACCGACAUGCUUUUCAGUCUGGUGCCCUCUCUAUUCAACUCCUUCUCAAAGCUAUGGGAGUAUGUUAGAGUUUCUCAGAGUUUAUUCCUGGACCCCUUUUCUUUUUUUUUCCUCUUCCUUCCAUAAUUUCAUUCUCUUCCCUUAGCUUUUAUUCUCAGACUAAUAUCCAAAUGUAUUUCUCCAGUGCCAACUUCUCUGAACUUUAGAUUUAGAGUUAACAGUUCUAUUUGUAUGUUUUACAGGUAUCUCAAACUUAACACUUGCAGAUGCAAACUUUCCAUUCCCAUCCUUCCCACUACAAAUCUACUCCUGAAUUGUUUUCCAUAUACUAGAUGAAACUACCAUUUUACCAGUUCCUUCACCCAGAAUCCAAGAUGUCAGUCAGCCUUGAACUGGUACUACAUUCAACCCCAUCAAUGAGACCCCUAGGUAUAUCUCAAAAAUGUCUCCAGCCAUUUUCACUGCCAAGGCACACACCAAGGCACCAACACUGACAGAUUACCUCCUAAAUAUUCUCUUUAUUCUGAUUUUCCCAUGUCUAGUUCAUUUGCCACACAGCAGCCAACUGAUCUAUUAAAAACAUUCUAUUUUAAUAAAAUUCAAACCCCUCAUUAUUGCUUACAAGGGCAGAUAUUAUUUGGCCCCUUAGUUCCUUCCCUAACCUCAUUGCAUGCCAGCCUCUUCCUUGACCACUCUGCUCUAGCCAUACUGACCUCUUAAAUUUCUCAAACAUACCAUGGUCUUUCUACUUCAGGGCCUGUGCACAUUUUGCUUCCUGUGUCAAAGAACACUCUUCUCUCCAUGCUAAAAUUCUGGUCCUUUUUAUAUCUCAAGGCUUAUAGUAAAUGUCACUUAUAAAUAGAGGCCUCUGUCCACUCAUCUAAACUAGGCCUUAGCUUCUUUUUGCUCCUUUCUAUAGCAGCACUUUAUUUCCAUUAUAGCACUUAUUAUGACUUUUAAUCACUUACUUAUUCGGUUAUUGAUUGUUAUCCAUCACGUGUCUUUCAGCUAAAUACAACAAGAAUCCAAUUUGUCUUUUCUACUGCUUUACCUUAUAUCACUCACAUGUAGCACAAAGUAGGUAUCCAAUAAAUGUUCUGUGAAUUAAUGAGAAUGAGCAACACUUAUAACACUGUUUUUUCUAACCAAAAAGGACACAAAAGACUAUGGACUUCUAUUUCAUGUCAACAUAUUCACUUAGAUAGAAGGAAUGUCAUAAUAGAGGAAAGUUAAAAUACUGAAGCUUGUCAACUAUUAUUCUCUAGAGAUCUUUCUUAAACAAUGUCCCAUCCAUUAAGGAUGAAUUAAAUUCAGCCCUACUUGAAGACAGAAUGAAAUGACUUCACCCAGCCCCUUAUGAACUUAUGAUUUUAUGAAAAAUCCAUAAGCUCUCAUCCUUUCAGCACACUGAUAACUAGGUAAUUACCCUUUUGAUGAAAAAGGAACCCUUUUUAUAUCUAUCCUCAUUGAAUUACGGACCUCAAAAUUGAAUUGGAGUCUAAUAGACAUCAAGCACCACUACCUACCAGUUCCCAGCAAAAUGAGAGAUAAUUUGUAGUCGUACCCAGGGACUCAGGGACAGUGCUGUCAGAAUGUCCUUCCUGCCUUCUCCGGUGACUCCUCACUGUGAGCCCUAAAUCCACAGUAUCAAUUAAGUGCCCUCCUCAGUUUGUGAGCCAGUCCCUAACAAAACAGAAAAGGUAUUAGCUCUCCCACCUUGUUUGUUCAUGGAUUUUGAAAUUAAGCCAUUCAGUUAAAGAUUUUGUAUAGAUUCACUUUAAGAUGCAACUUUCAUCAUUCCUACUAUGUUAACGAAGGUCAGAGGGCUUUGUCUCAACAGCACAUCAGUUCCCACACUGCAGUGGACCUGUCCCAGAAUCCCAAUCUGUUUUCCAGUGUCUUGACAGGUGUAAAGACCCUGACCACACUCUCCCCUGAUUACUGAAUGAGCACUUACGUCAACCGACUGAUUACUGGAAUCAAAUCGUUAACUCCCCACCUGACUGUGCCUAGAACCUGCAAUAUGUAUGUCUCCCCCAUGAUCCUGCAGUUUAUUAGCACUGCUCAGUUAUCAGUAAUGGAUCAGAUUAAGUUCUCAUUAGCUAGCUAUUCCAUAGCCAAGGCUAUUACUCUUACUCCUGAAUUUUCUUGCCUAACUCCCUGUUUCUAGGUGCUCAGACCACAGACAUUUAUAGUUGCGCCGAUCCCAGCUAUCAAGCCCACACUUCUAACUAGUCUCUCCAUGUUAAUCCCUUGUGAUUUUUUUAUCCAACUGUCAGUUUGGAGGCAUAAUAUUAUAAACCUUUACUUCCUAGAUAUUAGCAUUGGAAAACAUCAUUAUUUUUUGUUUAGAUACAACAGAGUCACAAAUGUAGCUUCAAAAAGCUGAACAACUUCUUUCCCCUUGAGGAUUUUUGCACAACUUUCCAUAUUCAGUAUCCAAGGACAUUUCUUUUCUCUCUUUGCUAACAUGGAUUACAGCAAGGUUACAUUAGCUAAUAAAAGCUCUCUGCUGACAAAAGAUGCUUUAGAAAAGUAACUCGAAAAGGGGCACUAUGGAUAGCUUUAUUAAAAUAAAAUGCCACAUCUUCGUGAAGUUAAAAGUCUCUGGAUUGUGGUUAAAAGUCUGGUCAGCUCUAAAUACAAUGGAGACUCUUUUAAGAACCAUGUUUUUCUCAAGCUGGCCUUACCAUACAUAACAGCCAGAAUAUAAAUCCAGACUACUCCAGCCCAUCUAUCAUUUCCUUUCCAUGCCAUGAAGGGGCCCGCAUGUGAAGGAGAGAUCUAUAAAAUUAAAUGAGAAACAGGUUCUGUUCUGAACACCAAUUAAUAGAAGUUAUGGAAAUCAUGAUAUCAAAACAACUUCAUACAAGUUAAAACAACAGUUAAGUACCAUUUUUGCUCAUCACCUGACAAGAAUACUUAAAUGUGAAUGUGGCCAACAAAUAGGAUAUGGUAUUCUAUACUGUUACUGUGAAAGUAUAUUUGUACAGCCUUUCCAAUAGACAUUUUGAUAGUAUGUAUUAAAAUGUAAAAUGCAGAUAAUCUUAAACUCAGUGAUUCUUCUUCAAGGUAUCCUAGAGAGAUAAUUACACAUGUGUGAAAAGGGACUUUUAUAAGUCUGCUCACUACAGCCCUGUUCAUAUUAGUAAAAAUAUCGCGACUCACCAAAAUGCCCAUCAUCAGGGGAAUGGUCACAUG